This 253-nucleotide ribosomal RNA is filed under the name uncultured bacterium. RNAcentral's name for it is "partial 16S ribosomal RNA". It matches the Rfam family "Bacterial small subunit ribosomal RNA", at positions 524 to 776 of the family's 1533-position model. The record is from RNAcentral.
GACGAACCGUGCGAACGUUGUUCGGAAUCACUGGGCUUAAAGGGCGCGUAGGCGGUCCACCAAGUCAGGGGUGAAAUCUUUCGGCUUAACCGGAAAAGUGCCUUUGAUACUGGUGGACUCGAGCGAGGUAGGGGCAGAUGGAACUGAGGGUGGAGCGGUGAAAUGUGUAGAUAUCCUCAGGAACGCCGGUGGCGAAAGCGAUCUGCUGGACCUCUUCUGACGCUGAGGCGCGAAAGCCAGGGGAGCAAACGGG